UUUUUUUUUUUUUUUUUUUUUUUUUUCUUCGGCGAACGCGGCGGCGUGCUUAAUACAUGCAAGUCGAGCGGACAGAUGGGAGCUUGCUCCCUGAUGUUAGCGGCGGACGGGUGAGUAACACGUGGGUCACCUGCCCGUAAGACUGGGAUAACUCCGGGAAACCGGGGCUAAUACCGGAUGCUUGUAUGAACCGCAUGGUUCAAACAUAAAAGGUGGCUUCGGUUACCACUUACAGAUGGACCCGCGGCGCCUUAGCUAGUUGGUGAGGUAAUGGCUCACCAAGGCGACGAUGCGUAGCCGACCUGAGAGGGUGAUCGGCCACACUGGGACUGAGACACGGCCCAGACUCCUACGGGAGGCAGCAGUAGGGAAUUUUCCGCAAUGGACGAAAGUUUGACGGAGCAACGCCGCCUGAGUGAUGAAGGUGUUUGGAUUGUAAAGCUUUGUUGUUAGGGAAGAACAAGUACCGUUCGAAUAGGGCGGUACCUUGACGGUACCUAACCAGAAAGCCACGGCUAACUACGUGCCAGCAGCCGCGGUAAUACGUAGGUGGCAAGCGUUGUCCGGAAUUAUUGGGCGUAAAGGGCUCGCAGGCGGUUUCUUAAGUCUGAUGUGAAAGCCCCCGGCUCAACCGGGGAGGGUCAUUGGAAACUGGGGAACUUGAGUGCAGAAGAGGAGAGUGGAAUUCCACGUGUAGCGGUGAAAUGCGUAGAGAUGUGGAGGAACACCAGUGGCGAAGGCGACUCUCUGGUCUGUAACUGACGCUGAGGAGCGAAAGCGUGGGGAGCGAACAGGAUUAGAUACCCUGGUAGUCCACGCCGUAAACGAUGAGUGCUAAGUGUUAGGGGGUUUCCGCCCCUUAGUGCUGCAGCUAACGCAUUAAGCACUCCGCCCUGGGAGACCUCGACAGG
This 911-nucleotide ribosomal RNA is filed under the name Bacillus subtilis. Its description in RNAcentral is "bacterial SSU rRNA". It matches the Rfam family "Bacterial small subunit ribosomal RNA", at positions 1 to 893 of the family's 1533-position model. Lineage: Bacteria; Bacillati; Bacillota; Bacilli; Caryophanales; Bacillaceae. The record is from RNAcentral.